CUUGGGCCCACAGCUGUCUGAUGUCGAGUGUCUUAAAGCUGAUAAAGCUGGUAUCUGUCUCCAUAUUGUGCCUGUGCCUUUGCUACCUUGUGUGUCAGAUUCUACUCAGUUGUACGCAUAGGCCCGCUGAUCGUUUGAGAAAUUAUUUUCUCCAAAACUAUGAUGCAGGUUUAAUCUGAGGUAGACUUUCCUAGUGCCUCUCCCCCUUAAAGGUUAAAGACAGCUGCUGGCUGCCAUGACCUGAAACACCAGAGCACAAGAGGAAUGGAGAGGUAGCAGCCAAGUUCCUGGGUGAUCUCUGCCUAGUCCUACGAAAGGUAUGAAUCUUCCUCCUCUGUAGUAUCUUCUCUCUGUGUUUAUGCCUAUCUUAUAUCUAAUUCAGCUCCCUUGAGUUGAGAAAAUCAGGGGCCAAAGCUCCCAAUUCUUCAUUCUUUAGCACUAAAUAAAGCUCUUUUUUCUUGAGUCAUCGGCCAUAUCAAGUAGCAGCAGAAUUGUAGCUUUUCUUGGUUACAAAAAUAUAAACAAUCUAAAAAAUCAUAUAUUUAAAAUCAGAUAUUUAAACAAAAGGUUGGUAGAAGGAUAUAUUUAUAAAUACCAAUAUGUUAGUAGGGAAAGUGAUUUCAUAAUAUUCGUCAAUACAUAUGAACAUGUUCAUGUUCAUAAAUUUUGCUCAGGUUACCCAACUCUGAAAAUUGAACCUCAGGAAAUAAUCCGACAUAAUAAAACCAUUAUAAGCUUCUUUGGAGGAGUUUGGUUCACAUGGCCUCCUUACAGAUGGAAGUCCUUUUAG
RNAcentral lists this long non-coding RNA (790 nucleotides) under Fukomys damarensis (Damara mole-rat). RNAcentral describes it as "lncRNA (ENSFDAG00000022344.1)". Lineage: Eukaryota; Metazoa; Chordata; Mammalia; Rodentia; Bathyergidae. The record is from RNAcentral.